RNAcentral lists this ribosomal RNA (259 nucleotides) under uncultured bacterium. Its description in RNAcentral is "partial 16S ribosomal RNA". It matches the Rfam family "Bacterial small subunit ribosomal RNA", at positions 524 to 777 of the family's 1533-position model. The record is from RNAcentral.
UACGAAGGGUGCGAAGCGUUAAUCGGAUUACUGGGCGUAAAGGGUGCGUAGGCGGUUAUUUAAGGUCUGCCGUGAAAUCCCCGGGCUCGAACCUGGGAAAUGGCGGUGGAUACUGGAUAGCCUAGAGUGUGUCAGAGGAUGGUGGAAUUCCCGGUGUAGCGGUGAAAUGCGUAGAGAUCGGGAGGAACAUCAGUGGCGAAGGCGGCCAUCUGGGACAACACUGACGCUGAAGCACGAAAGCGUGGGGAGGCAAACAGGG